RNAcentral lists this ribosomal RNA (606 nucleotides) under uncultured bacterium. RNAcentral's name for it is "bacterial SSU rRNA". It matches the Rfam family "Bacterial small subunit ribosomal RNA", at positions 332 to 929 of the family's 1533-position model. The record is from RNAcentral.
CAGACUCCUACGGGAGGCAGCAGUAGGGAAUCUUCGGCAAUGGACGGAAGUCUGACCGAGCAACGCCGCGUGAGUGAAGAAGGUUUUCGGAUCGUAAAGCUCUGUUGUAAGAGAAGAACGAGUGUGAGAGUGGAAAGUUCACACUGUGACGGUAUCUUACCAGAAAGGGACGGCUAACUACGUGCCAGCAGCCGCGGUAAUACGUAGGUCCCGAGCGUUGUCCGGAUUUAUUGGGCGUAAAGCGAGCGCAGGCGGUUAGAUAAGUCUGAAGUUAAAGGCUGUGGCUUAACCAUAGUACGCUUUGGAAACUGUUUAACUUGAGUGCAAGAGGGGAGAGUGGAAUUCCAUGUGUAGCGGUGAAAUGCGUAGAUAUAUGGAGGAACACCGGUGGCGAAAGCGGCUCUCUGGCUUGUAACUGACGCUGAGGCUCGAAAGCGUGGGGAGCAAACAGGAUUAGAUACCCUGGUAGUCCACGCCGUAAACGAUGAGUGCUAGGUGUUAGACCCUUUCCGGGGUUUAGUGCCGCAGCUAACGCAUUAAGCACUCCGCCUGGGGAGUACGACCGCAAGGUUGAAACUCAAAGGAAUUGACGGGGGCCCGCACAAG